RNAcentral lists this ribosomal RNA (297 nucleotides) under uncultured bacterium. RNAcentral's name for it is "partial 16S ribosomal RNA". It matches the Rfam family "Bacterial small subunit ribosomal RNA", at positions 28 to 334 of the family's 1533-position model. The record is from RNAcentral.
GAUGAACGCUGGCGGCGUGCCUAACACAUGCAAGUCGAGCGAUUCUCUUCGGAGAAGAGCGGCGGACGGGUGAGUAACGCGUGGGUAACCUGCCCUGUACACACGGAUAACAUACCGAAAGGUAUGCUAAUACGAGAUAAUAUGCUUUUAUCGCAUGGUAGAAGUAUCAAAGUUUUUGCGGUACAGGAUGGACCCGCGUCUGAUUAGCUAGUUGGUAAGGUAACGGCUUACCAAGGCGACGAUCAGUAGCCGACCUGAGAGGGUGAUCGGCCACAUUGGGACUGAGAUACGGCCCAG